UAAAUUGAGGCUUAUAAGCAUCUAGCUGUUAAUUAGAAGGUUGUGGAUUAAAACUCCAUCAAUUUAG
This 67-nucleotide transfer RNA is filed under the name Geotrypetes seraphini (Gabon caecilian). It matches the Rfam family "tRNA". From Rfam's summary of the family: Transfer RNA (tRNA) molecules are approximately 80 nucleotides in length. Lineage: Eukaryota; Metazoa; Chordata; Amphibia; Gymnophiona; Dermophiidae. The record is from Rfam by way of RNAcentral.